AUACGGAGGAUCCGAGCGUUAUCCGGAUUUAUUGGGUUUAAAGGGUGCGCAGGCGGCCAUUUAAGUCAGCAGUUAAAUCGUGGGGCUCAACCCCAUUCUGCCGUUGAUACUGGGUGGCUUGAUUGCGGUCGAGGUUGGCGGAAUUCGUUGUGUAGCGGUGAAAUGCAUAGAUAUGACGAAGAACACCGAUUGCGUAGGCAGCUGACCAGACCGCAAAUGACGCUCAUGCACGAAAGUGCGGGGAUCGAACAGGAUUAGAUACCCUGGUAGUCCGCACAGUAAACGAUGAAUACUUGUUUUCGGCGAUAUAAUGUCGGAGGCAAAGCGAAAGCGAUAAGUAUUCCAUCUGGGGAGUACGCCGGCAACGGUGAAACUCAAAUGAAUUGACGGGG
Molecule: ribosomal RNA, 392 nt
Filed under: uncultured bacterium
Lineage: Bacteria
Description: partial 16S ribosomal RNA
Rfam family: Bacterial small subunit ribosomal RNA
Source: RNAcentral